CAAGAACUCAGCUGUUGUCCCCCGGUGGAGUGAUUCGUUCUCCAUCUGUCAGUGACCUCUUGGACUCUCCUACCAAAAAAUAUCCCAGAGCCUUCUUGGACCUGAAGGCUGCACCUCCAGGCUCUGUGGAAGAAGCUUCUUUCCGAAGACGUUUUUCCGUGGCACGUCAGGCCCUGUCAUGGAAAGCACCUCCUGCCCCUCUCCAGCUGCUUCCCAGGGAAGCUGCUCCUGCUGCUGAUGGUCGGUGGGGUCCCAACACCCACCACCCUGAGGAACCCAAAGCUGAGCACCAGGAUCCAAGAGGAGCUGGGAAUUCCAGGGACAGGUUGAAAGGGGCUGGUGAAACCCUCCAGAGAAAAUCCAGCAAGCCCAAGUCAGGUUCUCACGUCCCUCAGCUCCUCACCCAGCCUGGCUCCAGUUCCAGAGCUGUCCUGCCUCCAAUCCCACCCGGGAGGAAGAGCAGCAACCCUUGAUGGCCCCACUCCCCCCUCCCAAAAAUCUUGGCCACCCCCACUCUUUAUUUUAACAACAACAGCGAUUUUCAUCAAAGAUUAUUACGAAAUCCAUUUCUUAUUAGCCCUCAAAAAAAAUAAAGUUAUUUAUUUCAAACUUUAUUAAAAAGUCGUUUCUC
Molecule: long non-coding RNA, 631 nt
Organism: Chiroxiphia lanceolata (lance-tailed manakin)
Lineage: Eukaryota; Metazoa; Chordata; Aves; Passeriformes; Pipridae
Exons: 4
Source: RefSeq, a predicted model, not a curated record